UCCGAAUUGGUGUAGUGGCUAACAUUUGACGCUCUCAAAAAAGUGCCGUCAAGCCCGGGGUUCGAUUCCCCGAUUCGGAG
This 80-nucleotide transfer RNA is filed under the name Xylariaceae sp. FL1651. RNAcentral describes it as "tRNA-Glu". It matches the Rfam family "tRNA". Rfam says of the family: Transfer RNA (tRNA) molecules are approximately 80 nucleotides in length. Their secondary structure includes four short double-helical elements and three loops (D, anti-codon, and T loops). Further hydrogen bonds mediate the characteristic L-shaped molecular structure. tRNAs have two regions of fundamental functional importance: the anti-codon, which is responsible for specific mRNA codon recognition, and the 3' end, to which the tRNAs corresponding amino acid is attached (by aminoacyl-tRNA synthetases). tRNAs cope with the degeneracy of the genetic code in two manners: having more than one tRNA (with a specific anti-codon) for a particular amino acid; and 'wobble' base-pairing, i.e. permitting non-standard base-pairing at the 3rd anti-codon position. Lineage: Eukaryota; Fungi; Ascomycota; Sordariomycetes; Xylariales; Xylariaceae. The record is from RNAcentral.